AGUGAACGCUGGCGGUAGGCCUAACACAUGCAAGUCGAACGGCAGCACAGUAAGAGCUUGCUCUUACGGGUGGCGAGUGGCGGACGGGUGAGGAAUACAUCGGAAUCUACUUUUUCGUGGGGGAUAACGUAGGGAAACUGACGCUAAUACCGCAUACGACCUACGGGUGAAAGCAGGGGAUCUUCGGACCUUGCGCGAUUGAAUGAGCCGAUGUCGGAUUAGCUAGUUGGCGGGGUAAAGGCCCACCAAGGCGACGAUACGUAGCUGGUCUGAGAGGAUGAUCAGCCACACUGGAACUGAGACACGGUCCAGACUCCUACGGGAGGCAGCAGUGGGGAAUAUUGGACAAUGGGCGCAAGCCUGAUCCAGCCAUACCGCGUGGGUGAAGAAGGCCUUCGGGUUGUAAAGCCCUUUUGUUGGGAAAGAAAAGCAGCAGGUUAAUACCCCGCUGUUCUGACGGUACCCAAAGAAUAAGCACCGGCUAACUUCGUG
RNAcentral lists this ribosomal RNA (492 nucleotides) under uncultured bacterium. Its description in RNAcentral is "partial 16S ribosomal RNA". It matches the Rfam family "Bacterial small subunit ribosomal RNA", at positions 29 to 507 of the family's 1533-position model. The record is from RNAcentral.